AUUGAACGCUGGCGGCAGGCCUAACACAUGCAAGUCGAACGGUAACAGGAAACAGCUUGCUGUUUCGCUGACGAGCGGCGGACGGGUGAGUAAUGUCUGGGAAGCUGCCUGAUGGAGGGGGAUAACUACUGGAAACGGUAGCUAAUACCGCAUAACGUCGCAAGACCAAAGAGGGGGACCCUCGGGCCUCUUGCCAUCGGAUGUGCCCAGAUGGGAUUAGCUUGUUGGUGGGGUAACGGCUCACCAAGGCGACGAUCCCUAGCUGGUCUGAGAGGAUGACCAGCCACACUGGAACUGAGACACGGUCCAGACUCCUACGGGAGGCAGCAGUGGGGAAUAUUGCACAAUGGGCGCAAGCCUGAUGCAGCCAUGCCGCGUGUAUGAAGAAGGCCUUCGGGUUGUAAAGUACUUUCAGCGGGGAGGAAGGGAGUAAAGUUAAUACCUUUGCUCAUUGACGUUACCCGCAGAAGAAGCACCGGCUAACUCCGUG
RNAcentral lists this ribosomal RNA (490 nucleotides) under uncultured bacterium. RNAcentral's name for it is "partial 16S ribosomal RNA". It matches the Rfam family "Bacterial small subunit ribosomal RNA", at positions 30 to 507 of the family's 1533-position model. The record is from RNAcentral.